CAGUUUGAGAUUUCUAACUCUUCCUCUCACUCAAUCUAACUCUUCCUCUGACUUGUGUUUUCUCCACAAUUCACCUCGAUUAUUAGCUUCGUAUGCGUCUCCUCUAACUUCUGUUUUGCCGCCGUUCACCGCCGCCGCCCACCGUCUCCGCCAAACGUACCUUACUCAUUAUUUUCACUCAGAUUUCGACUUUUCAAACCCUAAUUUUAAUCGUUUUUUCUUACUACAUUUGAUUUGUCUCUUUGUUGCACUUUGAUUUUGUGAUUUUACAUUAGAAAUAGAUUGAUAGUAUUUAACUGUUUUAUAGAAAAUUUAGCUAUAUAUGUGCACCUCCAUAUGUGAUUUUAGCUGAGUUUAACUUGAUUUGUAUCUUACAAUUUUCUGGAUUUAAUUGUUGAAUGAAGUAUGAAUGAUGUUUUUGUGAAUUUAAUUUAAUAUAAUUUUUUAAAUUGAGAUGAAUAUGUACAAGGUGAUGGCUGAUGAUGAAUAAAUGUACAAAUUAUUAGGUGUUGAUGGUUCAUUGUAAGAUUCUAUAGGCUUCCAGUGUCCAAUCACGUGGUAAUUGUUAAAAAGAUCGAAAGCCACCACUAGCUUUUACUCAAUUGUUUUGUUUUGGCCGUAGAAUCAGAGCC
RNAcentral lists this long non-coding RNA (632 nucleotides) under Lathyrus oleraceus (garden pea). Its description in RNAcentral is "Pisum sativum (pea) long non-coding RNA (PSAT_LNC004203)". Lineage: Eukaryota; Viridiplantae; Streptophyta; Magnoliopsida; Fabales; Fabaceae. The record is from RNAcentral.